This 445-nucleotide ribosomal RNA is filed under the name Episesarma sp. DBS 032. Its description in RNAcentral is "partial large subunit ribosomal RNA". Lineage: Eukaryota; Metazoa; Arthropoda; Malacostraca; Decapoda; Sesarmidae. The record is from RNAcentral.
AUUUUAAAGGGCCGCGGUAUUUCUGACUGUGCAAAGGUAGCAUAAUCGUUAGUUUCUUAAUUGGAAUCUUGUAUGAAUGGUUUGACAAGAAAAAAUCUGUCUUUAUAAAAUAUUAAUUGAAUUUAACUUUUAAGUGAAAAGGCUUAAAUAUGUUAAAAAGACGAUAAGACCCUAUAAAACUUAAUAUAAAUUAUUUGUUUAGAUAAAAUUUUUUAAUAUAAAUAUUUGAUAAUUGAUUUUUAUUUUAUUGGGGUGAUAAUGGUAAAAUGAUUAUUAACUGUUAAUUGUUAUAUAACAAAAAUUGUUGAAUAAUUAUUUAAUAAAUGAUCCUUGUUAAAGAUUAAAAGUUUAAGUUACUUUAGGGAUAACAGCGUUAUUUUUUUUGAGAGUUCUUAUCGAGAAAAAAGUUUGCGACCUCGAUGUUGAAUUAAAAUAUCUAUAUAAU